UGGGUCUCAAACCCAUGAACUGUGAGAUUAUGACCUCAGCCAAAAUCAAGAGCCGAACACCUAGUGGACUGAACCACCCAGCUGCUCCAAAAUUGCUGAGAAUUUUAGUAGAUAAAGUUAGUAUGAGUAAUCAAUAUGAUAUGGUUGCAAAAACACUGUUUUGGCUGUACCAAUGAAUCUGUAGCAGCCAGGGAGAAGAGGUCUUGAUACAGUGUCUGUCAGACCACAUGUGGAGCUUUGUGUUCAGUUCUGGGUGUUGAUUUUGAGACCUGUAGUCAUGGAAGAGCAAUCAGGAACUUGAAAGGGUGUAAAAUAUCUUGAGAAAUGGAUGAGGGCAUCUGGG
Molecule: long non-coding RNA, 343 nt
Organism: Herpailurus yagouaroundi (jaguarundi)
Lineage: Eukaryota; Metazoa; Chordata; Mammalia; Carnivora; Felidae
Exons: 3
Source: RefSeq, a predicted model, not a curated record